AUUGAACGCUGGCGGCAGGCCUAACACAUGCAAGUCGAACGAGUGGCGGACGGGUGAGUAAUGUCUGGGAAACUGCCCGAUGGAGGGGGAUAACUACUGGAAACGGUAGCUAAUCCCGCAUACCAUCGGAUGUGCACAGAUGGGAUUAGCUUGUAGGUGAGGUAACGGCUCACCUAGGCGACGAUCCCUAGCUGGUCUGAGAGGAUGACCAGCAAGACUGGAACGGAGAAACGGGCCAGACGCCUACGGGGGGCAGCAGUGGGGAAUAUUGCAAAAGGGGCGCAAGCCUGAUGCAGCCAUGCCGGGUGUAUGAAGAAGGCCUUCGGGUUGUAAAGUACUUUCAGCGGGGAGGCGUUACCCGCCGAAGAAGCACCGGCUAACUCCGUGCCAGCAGCCGCGGUAAUUC
RNAcentral lists this ribosomal RNA (406 nucleotides) under uncultured bacterium. Its description in RNAcentral is "partial 16S ribosomal RNA". It matches the Rfam family "Bacterial small subunit ribosomal RNA", at positions 29 to 526 of the family's 1533-position model. The record is from RNAcentral.